RNAcentral lists this ribosomal RNA (253 nucleotides) under uncultured bacterium. Its description in RNAcentral is "partial 16S ribosomal RNA". It matches the Rfam family "Bacterial small subunit ribosomal RNA", at positions 524 to 776 of the family's 1533-position model. The record is from RNAcentral.
UACGGAGGAUGCAAGCGUUAUCCGGAAUGAUUGGGCGUAAAGCGUCCGCAGGUGGCUGUGUAAGUCUGCUGUUAAAGAGUGAGGCUCAACCUCAUAAAGGCAGUGGAAACUACAUGGCUAGAGUGCGUUCGGGGCAGAGGGAAUUCCUGGUGUAGCGGUGAAAUGCGUAGAGAUCAGGAAGAACACCGGUGGCGAAAGCGCUCUGCUAGGCCGCAACUGACACUGAGGGACGAAAGCUGGGGGAGCGAAUGGG